Molecule: ribosomal RNA, 471 nt
Filed under: uncultured organism
Description: partial 16S ribosomal RNA
Rfam family: Bacterial small subunit ribosomal RNA
Source: RNAcentral
ACUCCUGCGGGAGGCAGCAGUGGGGAAUUUUGGACAAUGGGGGCAACCCUGAUCCAGCAAUGCCGCGUGAGUGAAGAAGGCCUUCGGGUUGUAAAGCUCUUUUGUCAGGGAAGAAACGGUGGUGGCGAAUAACUACUACUAAUGACGGUACCUGAAGAAUAAGCACCGGCUAACUACGUGCCAGCAGCCGCGGUAAUACGUAGGGUGCAAGCGUUAAUCGGAAUUACUGGGCGUAAAGCGUGCGCAGGCGGUUGUGUAAGUCAGAUGUGAAAUCCCCGGGCUCAACCUGGGAAUUGCAUUUGAGACUGCACGGCUAGAGUGUGUCAGAGGGGGGUAGAAUUCCACGUGUAGCAGUGAAAUGCGUAGAUAUGUGGAGGAAUACCGAUGGCGAAGGCAGCCCCCUGGGAUAACACUGACGCUCAUGCACGAAAGCGUGGGGAGCAAACAGGAUUAGAUACCCCGGUAGUCCCA